AAAUAGCCCUGAUUGCAGCGGCAUCCUUUUUCUUUCGCAUAGCGAAGAAAAAGAUACAGCGGAAAGCAGGUUCCCGG
Molecule: small RNA, 77 nt
Filed under: Halpernia frigidisoli
Lineage: Bacteria; Pseudomonadati; Bacteroidota; Flavobacteriia; Flavobacteriales; Weeksellaceae
Description: Flavo-1 RNA
Rfam family: Flavo-1 RNA
Source: Rfam by way of RNAcentral